This 253-nucleotide ribosomal RNA is filed under the name uncultured bacterium. RNAcentral describes it as "partial 16S ribosomal RNA". It matches the Rfam family "Bacterial small subunit ribosomal RNA", at positions 524 to 776 of the family's 1533-position model. The record is from RNAcentral.
GACGAACCGAGCGAACGUUGUUCGGAAUCACUGGGCUUAAAGGGCGCGUAGGCGGGCUGUCAAGUCUGGGGUGAAAUCCCGCGGCUCAACCGUGGAACUGCCUCAGAUACUGACGGUCUCGAGGGAGGUAGGGGCGAGCGGAACUGUGAGUGGAGCGGUGAAAUGCGUUGAUAUUCACAGGAACUCCGGUGGCGAAGGCGGCUCGCUGGACCUCUUCUGACGCUGAGGCGCGAAAGCCAGGGGAGCAAACGGG